RNAcentral lists this unclassified non-coding RNA (233 nucleotides) under Hevea brasiliensis (rubber tree). The record is from RNAcentral. Lineage: Eukaryota; Viridiplantae; Streptophyta; Magnoliopsida; Malpighiales; Euphorbiaceae.
GUGUGUGUGUGUGUGUGUGUUCUUAUCUUCAAUUAUGUUACAACUUUAUCUCUAUGUUAAUGUUCAAUAUUGUUUGCUUUGUUUGCUUUAUAAUGAACUUUUCCCUCUGAAUUGGUAGAAUAUAUAAUCACUAAUUCACCAAUUUCUCAAUUUAGCAAUGCUGGUUAAUAUGUUGCUUCCUCAUCUUCUACCAUAUUUAACUUUCUCAGGAACCUGCCUCAGGUUGGCUUGAU